AUAACCUGGGAGAUUCAGAAACUUAUGUUGAAACAAGCUUUGAAUAUUAAUUUCGUUGAAGGUUUAUAUGAAACCAAAAGUACUACAAUAGUAAUAGAAAGCUCAUCUUCUGUUUAUUAAUUAUAGAUAAAUUUGAGUUGUUGGUAUAGAAAGGUCUCAGUUAAUGAGUUCUCUCACCAAUAUUAGCUGUAUUGUAAUAUUUUCCUCCUGUGUGAUUAUACUAAUAUAUUUCUUUUUAUUGAAAGCUUGCAAAUACAGAAGAAUACAUAGAUGGAGCUUUGUCUGGACAUCUGGGUGAAGUUUUAAUAAGGUGUAAUAAUGUCCUUUAUAUCAGAGGUGUGGAAGAAGAGGAAGAAGAUGGGGAAAUGAGAGAAUAGCAUCUUUUGUGGGGGAUUUUUUUUUUAUAUAUAUUUCUAGACAAUAAAGAUUUGUUUGUUUUUCAACUUGACUUGUGAACUAUUUGUAUUCAGAUAUUUACAAGCAAAGCUGAAAUGAUAAACCAAUUGGGAAAGAUUACUCACCGAACUAAUGCUUUAAAAGCCACUGAAUUUCAUUUAAGUUGCUUUUCUUUUGUAAGCCCAAUAUUCUUUUUUUUCCCAUAAAGGAUAAUUAUUUAUAUGCUUUAGAUAUUUUUAUGAAGGUGAAUUUCAGACCUUUUCUUGUAAAAUUAUCUAUUAGCUGAGACCUUUUAAAUGCAACUUUUUCUUUUAAAGUUACUUUUGAGCCACUUUUAACGUAUAAAAUUAAACAUUUUCUUGG
This 759-nucleotide small RNA is filed under the name Pan troglodytes (chimpanzee). Its description in RNAcentral is "retained intron". Lineage: Eukaryota; Metazoa; Chordata; Mammalia; Primates; Hominidae. The record is from RNAcentral.